CUGACAAGCUGGGGCCAUUGGGCAACAACACCAUAUCUUGUCUGGCUAAACAGCCGUUGUACGUCAGAUUAAGCUCGGACUAUGUCUGUUGAACAAUAAUCGGGAAUGACAAUGCCAAUGGUUUUAACGAGUACUGUUGUGAUCGUGGUCGUUUAAUGAAAGAUUUUUUAUUUUGUCUUCUAGAACAAGUCGUCAUAGGUAAAACGAAAUCCAUUUCAAAUAACUGUGUGUUUAAUAACUACUUGUCCUAUGCAAUGAUCUGACACAACUUCAAGUUCGCAUCCCGAUUUUUGACCUUUUAUUAACAAAUCGAUUCAUCACACGUGCGUUUGAAU
Molecule: long non-coding RNA, 335 nt
Filed under: Mytilus galloprovincialis (Mediterranean mussel)
Lineage: Eukaryota; Metazoa; Mollusca; Bivalvia; Mytilida; Mytilidae
Source: RNAcentral